Molecule: ribosomal RNA, 468 nt
Filed under: uncultured bacterium
Lineage: Bacteria
Description: partial 16S ribosomal RNA
Rfam family: Bacterial small subunit ribosomal RNA
Source: RNAcentral
GACGAACGCUGGCGGCGUGCUUAACACAUGCAAGUCGAACGGAAAGGCCCUGCUUUUGUGGGUUGCUCGAGUGGCGAACGGGUUAGUAACACGUGAGUAACCUGCCCUUGACUUUGGGAUAACUUCAGGAAACUGGGGCUAAUACCGGAUAGGAGCUCCUGCUGCAUGGUGGGGGUUGGAAAGUUUCGGCGGUUGGGGAUGGACUCGCGGCUUAUCAGCUUGUUGGUGGGGUAGUGGCUUACCAAGGCUUUGACGGGUAGCCGGCCUGAGAGGGCGACCGGCCACAUUGGGACUGAGAUACGGCCCAGACUCCUACGGGAGGCAGCAGUGGGGAAUAUUGCACCAUGGGCGGAAGCCUGAUGCAGCAACGCCGCGUGCGGGAUGACGGCCUUCGGGUUGUAAACCGCUUUCGCCUGUGACGAAGCGUGAGUGACGGUAAUGGGUAAAGAAGCACCGGCUAACUACGUG